Molecule: ribosomal RNA, 491 nt
Filed under: uncultured bacterium
Lineage: Bacteria
Description: partial 16S ribosomal RNA
Rfam family: Bacterial small subunit ribosomal RNA
Source: RNAcentral
GUGAACGCUGGCGGUAGGCCUAACACAUGCCAGUCGCACGGCAGCACAGUAAGAGCUUGCUCUUACGGGUGGCGAGUGGCGGACGGGUGAGGAAUACAUCGGAAUCUACUUUUUCGUGGGGGAUAACGUAGGGAAACUUACGCUAAUACCGCAUACGACCUACGGGUGAAAGCAGGGGAUCUUCGGACCUUGCGCGAUUGAAUGAGCCGAUGUCGGAUUAGCUAGUUGGCGGGGUAAAGGCCCACCAAGGCGACGAUCCGUAGCUGGUCUGAGAGGAUGAUCAGCCACACUGGAACUGAGACACGGUCCAGACUCCUACGGGAGGCAGCAGUGGGGAAUAUUGGACAAUGGGCGCAAGCCUGAUCCAGCCAUACCGCGUGGGUGAAGAAGGCCUUCGGGUUGUAAAGCCCUUUUGUUGGGAAAGAAAAGCAGCAGGUUAAUACCCCGCUGUUCUGACGGUACCCAAAGAGUAAGCACCGGCUAACUUCGUG